Molecule: unclassified non-coding RNA, 9121 nt
Filed under: Dimorphilus gyrociliatus
Lineage: Eukaryota; Metazoa; Annelida; Polychaeta; Dinophilidae
Description: dgyrCDS8933
Source: RNAcentral
AUCCUGCAUAAAUUAAACGGCGUGCGUUUGUAAACGAUGCGUGGUAUUUAAACAUUUUGGUGAGUUUUUUCGCUUUUACCUGAUUUGAUGAGCGUCUAAAGUGUCAGAAUUUACUUCUUAUAGUUUGUUUUACCUAUAUCUUAACGAUUGUGUAUUCUAAAUUGCAAAGGUAUAUUGUAAUUUCAAAAAUAUUUGACCGUUUUGUGUUUACAUUCCCCGCCUCCAACCUUCCUUUGUUAUCAUUCUUUGCAUUCUCAAAUAAAAUUCCUUUUUGCUUUUACAGAUACUUUCAAAUUUACCAACGCACUGAAAAUAUGUAUCACGGACCACCAACACCACAACGACAUCAAAGUACGUACAUUGGUUUAUUGUUUUCGUACCGAUAAUAUAUCAGAUAAGCUUGUCAAUAUAUGUCUGAAUGAGUGCUAUUGAAAUAAAUUUUUCAUUCUGGUUUUUCAGUGGGCAGCAGCGGAGAUGCUUAUAUGGGAGAUGGAUCCAUGGGCCCUGCUGGUGGGAUUGACUCAAAGGGUCAAAUUGUUAUGUGGCAACAAGGCCAAUACCUGACCGACUCUGGAGUCCAAUCCGGUGUUACAACUGGCGCGCCCAGUGUCUCUUCCAUACAUGAUGAGAUUGAACAACAGUCAACUAGUGCAGGGAGUGGAAUGGACACUUCUGUUCUAUAUGCUCCUCCACCUGCACAAUACCCAAAUCAUCCGCCACCCCCUCCUCAACCCCCAUCUGCUGAGCAAGCAAUGGCGGAAUUAAGAAACGCUAUGUUUCCAGAAAAUAUUGAGGACCAAACAAUGGUACAAGAUGUAAAUAGCCCUCAACAGCCACCGCCUCCACAACAGGCCCCAGACCACAUGCUUAACACGGCUGUAGUUAAUUUAAUCAACUAUCAAGAUGAUGCCGAUAUAGCAGCCAAGGCUAUACCAGAUUUAGUAAAAUUAUUAACCGAAGAGGAUCAGGUUGUAGUUGCCUCUGCUGCUUCGUUCAUUCAUCAGUUGUCAAAGAAAGAGGCACCCAGACACGCAAUCAUGAAUUCACCUCACAUGGUUACGUCUCUAGUUCAUACACUAACGAAUUUCAGUGAUCACGAGAUUAUGCGAUGCGCUGUCGGUACUUUGCAUAAUUUGUCACACCACAAACAAGGUUUACAUUCGAUAUACCAAGCGGAUGGCAUACCAGGCCUAGUCAAGCUCUUAGCAAGUCCAAUCGAAAGCGUCCUUUUCUACGCAAUAACAACCUUACAUAAUCUGCUUUUACAUCAAGAUGGAUCGAAAAUGGCCGUUCGCCUAGCGGGAGGCUUACAGAAAAUGGUCGCUUUACUGGCAAGAAACAACGAAAAAUUUCUUGCUAUUACAACUGAUUGUCUACAAAUUUUGGCUUAUGGUAAUCAGGAAUCAAAAUUGAUAAUUUUGGGAAGUGGCGGUCCUGUUGAACUUGUAAGAAUUUUACGUCAAUAUUCAUACGAGAAGCUCCUUUGGACUACUACUCGAGUUCUAAAAGUGUUAUCUGUUUGUCAAAAUAAUAAGCAGGCAAUUGUUAAGGCUGGCGGAAUGCAAGCGUUAGCCUUACACCUGUCUAGACCAAGUGUACGCCUAGUCCAAAAUUGUCUUUGGACUCUAAGAAACUUAUCAGAUGCCGCCACUAAAUUAGGUGGAUUGGAAGAGUUGCUGAGAAUGCUUAUUCAUCUCUUGUCUAAUCAAGACAUCAACAUCGUAACCUGUACCGCCGGUAUCUUGUCGAACUUAACGUGCAAUAAUCAACAAAAUAAGGUCACUGUUGUACAAGCGGCCGGUGUUGAGGCUCUGAUUAGAACCAUUUUGCAUGCUGGAGACAGAGAAGAUAUUACAGAGCCAGCUGUUUGUGCUCUGCGUCAUAUCACAUCGAGACAUGAAGAAGCUGAAGCCGCUCAAGAUAUCGUAAAGCAGCAUUAUGGCAUCUCUGUUCUUGUUAAAUUGCUUCACCCCCCCAGUCGUUGGCCACUAAUUAAAGCCGUUAUUGGAUUAAUUCGUAAUUUGGCUUUCUUGCCGUCGAAUCAAGCACAAUUACGAGAUCAAGAUGCUGUCAGUCGCCUCGUUCAUCUACUCUUUAAAGCUCAUCAAGAUAUUCAAAGACGUCCCGCUCAGUCUGUCGAUGGAGUAAGAAUGGAAGAAAUUCUCGAAACUGCCGGUGGGGCCUUGCAAGUAAUGGCUAGAGACGAAGGAAAUCGUGCAAUUAUUCGAAAAGCUAUAAAAAUACUGGUUGAAAUGCUCUACUCAAAUACUGAAACUAUUCAAAAAGUUUCCGCUGGAAUUCUUUGCGAAUUAGCAUCGGAUAAAGAAGGAACUGAAGCCAUUGAAUCUGAAGGUGCAAGUGCACCCCUAAGUGAAUUGGUUCGCUCACCCAACGAAGGAAUUGCGACUUACGCAGCCGCCGUUCUCUUCCGUUUAUCCGAAGAUAGACCCACGGGAGCGUUUAACGGAGCCGAAGCAGCUGUCGCUGGAUCGCAGUUCCCUUGGCAACGUGAUCCGAACGGUGGCCCAAGUUCGACGGCUAGAUCUCAAACAUUUGUUCCAUCAUCACCAUAUCAACAACAGCCGCCUCCACCAGCGCAACCACAGCAGCAACAACAACAACAACCACCACCACCACCUCAGCAACAUCAACGAAUGUGGUUCGAUACUGACUUAUAAACGCAGUAGUGGAACAUAAAAGAAAGCGUUCAGUAAACAAGGCAUAUCGUUGCUUUUUAUUUGCAUGGUUUUUAUAAUAUACUCGCCUUAGUUUUAAGCAGAUGUUCGUAUAUUUUAAUACAUAUUUUUUUUGUUCAUGCACCUUACAAGAAAGCUAUGUUUAAGUUUCAGUGAGUUCUUAGCAUUUUUUAAUAUAUGUAAACAAAAAUUAUAUUUCUAUUGGGUUACUUUGAUUUUUUAUGUAUUUUUCAGUAUUUGAUAAGAAACUAAGUCAUUUAAGUAAGUGUAAAUAAGAUAAGAUUUUUAAAGAUCAAUAGGCCAAAAUCAAGCCAAGCUUUCUUUUCUUAAAGUAGCAUUAAGGAGAUUGAAGUAAUCACUGUGAUCCGUUUCUUUUGGUAAUAAUUGACGAUAAUGUCUAUCGCAUACCCAAAUUGAUCUUCCAUCAAAUUGUAUUUUAGUCAGACCACAAAUUCUUCGACAGUUUGAUGCCAAAUUCAGCCUACUUCUCAGGAAAUUACUAUCUACCUUAUCUAAAGGAUACUUCAGAGUUGAUAUCUUAAAUUUUGCUUCCAGAUCUUUAAGCAUUCCAUCUAAAGUCUGCGUGAUUUGCUUCGUUCUAACUGCCAUAUCAUUGGCCAAAACAGACGAAUCGCUAGUAAUUCGAAGUAAUUGUAAAACGGCUAAAGUAUGAGGACCGUACUUGUGCAUUAUUUCGUCGACGUUACGAUGAAGGGCCAGCCCUUCUUCCGGACUUAUGUGCAAACCAUCGGGAAAUUCGCAUACAGCAUGUAAAGCAUACGCAGAAUAUUGAUUGGGGUAGAUAGUUUGUUUAGCAAUAUUUAGGCCAUCACCAACCGCUGGUAGAACGACAAAAUAUGUUGGAAAUCCAUUACAUUUCGCCGAAAGAUCUGAUUUCUCUUUAGGUAUUAAUUUCUUUGGUAUUUGGCCCUUUAUAAAUUCGAAAUUUGCGCCGAGCUGAUGACCCUGCUCGCAUGAGACAUCUGAUUCGUCAUCAUACGAUAGAAUGAUGGAAGGGAAUCUAGCUGGGUUUUCUACAUUAUUAAAUAAACAUCCAGGACAAAUGAUUGUGUUGAGGAGUCUGGAGUUCAUAGAAGCUUGAGAUUUGAGUCCUUCAUAAGUACUAGUGACUUUGUCUAAAAUUCGAUCAAGAAUAUCGAUACCUUCGUGUAUAUCUCUGUCGAAUGUUGUUCGUAUUUCUAGUAAUAGAACAUUUCUUUUCAACUGAAUGUGGUAUGCGAAACCAUCUAUUACUUCGACAAUGUGAGUUAAUAAGUACGUGGAUUUUACACCUUCGUAGACUUCGUCUGUCCGAUUUUUUCUUAAUGCAACUGUUAAAUCGGGAAAGAAACUUGGUGGAGCAAUUGUUGGUAGGGUAACCAUAAAAACAAAUUGUAGUUCAUCAUCUUCUGGAAAUUUCCUCCACGAUGUUUCAGGAGGGUAGCCAGCCGGUAAUCUCGAGGGUGCUAACAAUAAUUUUGUUCCACUCAAUCGAAUACAAAUUGACAAACUUAGUAGAAAGGAUAAGGCAUCUUGGUCCAAUUGUUUAAGUAAUAAGUCUUCUUGUAUCAGGCCUACAUUAUUAGGAUCAGAUGGUAUGGCGUGUAUGGUUGAGAGACAUUUUGCCAACCAUUCAGGUUGAAGAACAAUAACGGUAUUAUUUGACCGAGAAGCGGUGACGACCGAACCAGAGUUGGCGAACCUAGCUAACAUUAAAAGGAACUCUUCAUCAUUUUUUACGCCAUGAACCUGAGCUAGCUUAGCCAUUUCAUCCAUGGUUAUUACUGGUUUUUCUAUUCUGUUUAAAGAAUCUUGUAGUUGAGACCAUCUUCUUGGGAUAUAUGAAUUUAAUGAUAUUGUUUUCCUGCAAAUGUUUUCCAUAUAGGUUUUAAGAGAUUCAAUGUUGGCCCCGUCUGGAGAACUGACUUCAAAAUAAGCAAUAAUGUGAGGUGAAAAAAGAGGUGAUUGUACUCCAUCUGCGCCUCCGCUGUCAUCCGUCGCGUUUUCUAUGUCAUUCGCCGUAAGAUUUCCAGUUGGAGGGCGUCUUUGAGGUAGACAACCGACAGUACAGAGUAUACAAUCACUGCACGAGUCCAUACGAGUGUGUUUGAUCUUGCAGCGACUCAAUAGUUUCCUUACUUCUGUCCAUAUUUCUUGUUUAAGAUCAUCGUUCAACGAUGAAUGAUCGGCAUGUGUUCCAACAAUAAUAACAGAGGCAUUCGGAGCUUUUGAAUAGAUAUAAGAGAGCCAUAGUUGAAGUCUUCCAAGAAGAAAAUUUGAUCUUUCAACUGUACAUUCAGUCCAUUCAUUCAUUUUGAAAACUGUAACGUAUACGGCUCCAGCAGUUAAAAAAAACCCGUGGUCAUCGUACAAAUCUGCCGAACCGCCACAAUCAAAAAUCUUAAGAACAAUUUCCUCGCCAAGAUUUACUUGCCGAACAUCAACACUCUUGACCCUUGAAGCUUGGCGCAUGUUCGGUCGAGCAGAUAGUUUUAGCUGGGAAAGUCUCCUAACAACGUUAGUGCUGUUGUGGACGGGGUGAAGUCUUUUAAUUAGACUAGUCUUUCCGCAUUUUUCCUGUCCAACUACAACCAUUUUCAUAGUAUUGCAUGGAACGGGAUCUUCCGUGAGAAUUCUUAAAUAGGACUUUAAUUCCUGAACAGAUAACUCAUCGGAAACAUCCUCUAAUGGAUUAUAAUUCAGAAUGAUGUCUUUUAGCUUAUUCAAUGUUGACAGCGAAGUCGGAACGGUCUUCAACUUAUUCUGCUCUAGAUCAAUGGUUCUUAAUUGGGAGCAUAAUCCUAUAUCUUCAGGUAGGCUUAUUAGCUGGUUAUUUGAAACAUUUAGCUGUCUGAGGGAUGUGCAAGAGCAGAGUUGAUUAGGAAGAAUUUUUAAUUGGUUCCAGGAAACAUCCAAGAUCUCUAGGUUUGUUAACUCAAAGGGGGGUAGACAUGUAAGAUGAUUCUUUACUGCUCGGAUAACUUUUAGCUGCUUAAAUCGUCCUAUAGAAGCCGGUAGACUUGUUAGACGAUUUUCGCUAACGUCUAAAGAUUCCAGAGAGUCCAAACCUUCCAGCUGUAAUUGUCUCAUUCCACAUUCCACAAUGAUAAGAUUUUUUAGAGAAGAGAAAUUCAAUAGAUUCCCAGCUCUUAUACUGGAUUUUAAUAUUGUAAGUGUUAUGGUUUUGCUUGGGAAACACUUUGAAAUAUUUGAAGUAUUCAUAUCCCCCUUUACAUUCCUUAAUAAAAUGUGUUUUGUAGGAAUAUCGAGGGUCUGAUAUAGGAAAACCCCAAGGUCAUUCGCCGCUUGUCCAUGGGCUAGUAAUAUUUCAACACACAGAAAAUUUCUUAAUGAGAAGCUCUUGACCACUGAACAACUUCUAGAUUGUUCCACCACGUAGGAUCUCCUUAGGUCGUCUUCAAGGUUCUUUUCUUGACUUUUUAUAGAUCUCAAGAGAAUGAAAGGCGCCCUUGGCCUUCGGUCAACUGAAUGUAUGAAAUCGACGAUAAUUCCAACACAAUUAACGUGACCAUUCUCAACAGCGGAGUAAAGAGCGGUUUUACCUUGCUUAUCACGUUUCUCUAAAUCGGCACCAUGAGAUAAAAGAUACAUAAUAAUUUUAUGAUAACCUCUUGCCGAAGCCUUAUGUAAAGCCGUUCGUCCAUUGGAAUCGGGGACAUUAAUAAUAGUUUUGUUGGACUUGUAGUACUUUCGUACUUCAUCCACGUCAUUUCUGCAAACGGCUUCAAAGAAACCGGAAUCAGCUGAGUCAGGUUCGGAAAUGUUAGAAAUAGAUGUCCAUAAAGCUUUUGGAGGAGGAAGAGCCGUGGUUGUGUCAUCUCUCUUCGCCUCCUGCUUUUUCAACUUGUUUGAAAUUUUCUUCAACAUUCUCUCUCCUAUGUUGCGUUGAAAUCGCGCCCAAUAACUUUAAGGCCAAUAAUGUUCAAUAUAUAUUCGACAAUCAAAUCCUGAAAGCAGUAAAAAAAACAAGGAAGAGGAGAAAAAGUGAUAUUACUCAUACAAGAUAAGGAUGUUACUUAUCUAUAUUUGAAACGAUUAUAGAUGAAAACGGAGUGAAUAGGAAGAUAAUAUGCUCUUAAAGAUAAAUUAAUUAACUAAUGUAACGCGAUUGAUAAAUAAUUAACAAAGUCAUCUGAAUUAGUUGAAACCUUUUGUCUUAUUCGAAUAAUUAGAUAUAAUUAAAUUGGAUUACUUAGUAUAUAUAUUAUAAAUACAUUAUUAAGUAUAACGUAAAUAUGUACACAUACUCGUCUCUCAUUUUUUUCAUUCUCUUCCCCCCUUCAUUGAUUAUUAAUAAUAAGGCUUUUUUUAGUAUGAAAAGAGGAAGACGAGGAAGAAGAGGGAAAAGAAAUUAAAACUAUAUACGAAUAUAUGCUAUAUAUAUAAUUUUUUUAUUAUAUAUAGUAUAGCCUUCUUAUAUUUUCUUUUUUGUUGUUCUAUCCUUUAAAGAGGACUUUCCUUUCCAGUAAUUUUUUGAGGAGGAGAGAAACUAGUUUAUUCGAUAUUAUUACUUUAAUCUUCAAAUGAAUAAUGAAAUUGAAAAGUUUCGUUUGAAGACGUUCUUCCUUAUAAAACUGACAUAUCGCUGUGGGCAUAUUCAGUCUUUAAACUAGUUAACAGUACUCGAACCUUUUUCAAAGGCGAUCAAUUGCAUUUAAAGAAAAAAGAACAGAAAACACAAAUAAGGCAGGAAGAGAAAUACUAACUGCAACUAACUAAAUCUCUAUUUUCCGUGCGUGCUUUAGUGACUAUGCGUGGUGCGUUUCUCUACCUUCACCUCUCUUUUUGUGUGUUGUCUGCAUGAUGUUUGGGUAUGAUUUCUACGCGAAUUAUUAAGUUAUCAAUUAAUUUCUAUUCUCUACGUUUUUAUCCGAAAUUCUUUGUCUACUAUUCAAAGGAGCAAGUUAAAAUUCAUAUGGAAGAAAAAACAGUGUAAAUAUACCGGAAACGGGGAUAUUUUUACAUGUUUCUUAUUGUACGUUAUUCGAUAGAAUAAGUCUUUAAGUAAAGAGAGAACGUAAGAAAAUUUCUUCUUGACCUAUACUAUAUAUUUAUAAAAUUUUACAGCUAUUGUUUAUAUACGCAUAACAAGAGUAAGGAAAAGGUUGAAUUUAGAUCUCUCCUCCAACGCUAAAUAUACGUUGGACGGUGAGGCGAUGACCUUAACUUCACUCUUCUAUCUUUAGAUAAAAGGAUAAUGUAAACGUAUUAGAGUAUUUAUUAAAUUUUAUCUUAAUUGUGCUGGAAUGAUAUGUAACUUUUCUAUUUGAUUAAAUCAAACCUUGUCGAACGAUCUUUUCAUUUUAAUAUCCGUAAACGCUGUUACUGUGCAGUCUUCAAUUAUUUAAAUGGAUUCUGGGUUAAUGUACGUCAGCCUGUUUACAUUUGAAGUUAGUUAUAUGACCUGUGUAGUUUUUCACUUUUCUGGAUUCAUAUUCAGUCAUAGUGACAAAAUUCCUUUCUUUAUUCAACAAUAAUUGCAAAUUAAUUAAAUGUUAAAGUUAAUAAUAUAGGUAUAUUUAAGGAAAUUUCAGCCUAUGUUUGAUUACAAGUACAUAAAUUUUAGACUAUUUAUAUAUUGAAAAACAAUAUUAUGUUUUUUAUUUUAUGGGUCAAUUAUAGGACAUUGGAAAAGAUGAGAAUAGAAAUCAUUGGGCGGACAUUUAGAGCAGGACAAUGAUUUAUCUCAUAGUUCAUUAACCUAUGGCGUAUUAGCAGAGAAAACAUUGAGGUUAUCCCAGUACAUCUUUGCGGCGUCUAGCCUAUCAAGAGUUUAUUAAGAAAGAAAAAAUUUAGAGACGUCUAGUAACGUAUAUUAAAAAAAUAUAAACAUACAAAUGCUGAUAAUAUACCAUAUAUAUAUGUAUGUAUAUUAGUUCUAUGUAACAAAGACUAAUAAUGGAAAGAGUACACCAUCACUCAUUCACUUCUAUUCUUAAACCAGCUUUCAUUCUGUUAUAAAGAGAAAAGCUGUAGGAGGUUUAUAUUUAAGAAAAAAUAGAAUCCACAGAAUAUUUUAUAUAGUAAUACGUAUUUUGAAUAUAUAUUUGCAUUUAUAGUAUAGAUAUAAACAUAAACAUAGUGAACAUAGUGGCGUGCAUCACUAGAUCGUGAGCAGAUUAUUAACAUUUAAAAUAUAGUUCUUAAAAUAUUAAUUAAGAAAAAUAUUUAUUAUAUACUAUGUCUGUUAAUAAUAUUUUGAUGAAAUGAAAAGAUUAACCAAAGAUUUACUAUCUAAUCCUUUAUUUCAUUAAAUCCAUUUAAUAUAAUAUUUAUGAAGUAUAGCAUUUUUAUAGCGAAAAUAAAAAAUAAAUGAAGCCAUAGGAGACUUUUUUUAUUAAUUGAUAAAAAAUAAAUUUAAUAAAUUUAAGAUGAAUCUAGACUUAUGAAAUUCUAUAGAUAGG